GACGAAGGAUCCAAGCGUUAUCCGGAUUUAUUGGGUUUAAAGGGUGCGUAGGCGGAUUGAUAAGUCAGUGGUGAAAGCCUGCAGCUUAACUGCAGAACUGCCAUUGAUACUGUCAAUCUUGAAUAUGUUUGAUGUGGGCGGAAUAUGACAUGUAGCGGUGAAAUGCUUAGAUAUGUCAUAGAACACCGAUUGCGAAGGCAGCUCACAAAGCCAUCACUGACGCUGAGACACGAAAGCGUGGGUAGCAAACAGG
Molecule: ribosomal RNA, 253 nt
Filed under: uncultured bacterium
Lineage: Bacteria
Description: partial 16S ribosomal RNA
Rfam family: Bacterial small subunit ribosomal RNA
Source: RNAcentral